UAAGGUAACAGUAAGAAUAUGACUAUUAUGUGAAUGUGACUGUGCUUUGUAAAACAUUAUAAUCAACAGACAGUAGAAUCAUGAUUCUUAACAAAAACAGGAAAAAUAUGACUAUUAUGUGACUACGGGUUGUAUAACAAUGACUGAACAUGACGGUGGGAAUAUGACUAUUAUGUGACUAGGUUCUGCGUAAUGUGACUACAAGUAAUCAGCACUUGAAAAAACUUGCAAUAGCAAAAUACAUUGCAAAAAGAAAAAAAAUGACUAAAAAAAACAAAAAUAACUAAUGUGAUCUCCCAUCGAACAUGUUUUUUUGUUGCAGUAUCCAACUCAGUUGCACCGACUGCAAUUAAUCUUUCGUUUGAUCUUCUCUGUUAAAUAUGACUACAACGUUAAACAUAUGUAGCACUACAAAAAAAAAGGAGGAGGCGGCGGCAACGAACGGCGACGGUGAUAGUUGUGUACAAAUCUAACCCGAAACCCGAACAACAUGAAACACAAAAAAAAAAUAUAAAUCACAACUCUUAUCAUGCAAGUCAAUCCACAACUGUCAAUGCAUACAAAUGCAUAGAUACAUGCUCUAGGAUAAGAAAAAACAAAAACUCACAAAAAUUAAUAAAAUGCAUGAUAAUUCAAAUCUACGCAUUAUAACAAACCAAAUUAUAACCAUUGCGGUUUUACAGCAAUGCCAUUAUAAUUUUCAUGCUAUUAUAACCAUUUUACUAAAGAAAAAUUAAAAUAAAAUAAAAUAAUAUAACUAAAAAUUCAGAUCCAUAACAAGUUUUAUAGCAAAUUAAUUCGAGAAAAAAAAUUAUACCGAUUAAUUUGUAGAUAUUCAGCAAUUGCGGUUUUGGCAAAGGACGACGGCGGCGAUUUCGACGGAGGGCGGCGGCUGUGGUGAGAACAUGGGCGGCGUGGGGUAAUUUCUAGAUCUCCAUCGGUGUCCUGCCGCUAGUCCUUUGAAUCCUUAACCAUCUGUGAUUGUCUAUUCCUGCCGCCGGAAUCUUCUGUUGCCUCCUCGAUUUUUUAGUGGUGGAAAUAUUAGAUCUAGGAUUUGGGAGAUGAAGAACAGAGAAAAGAGAAAAAAAAGCAGAUGAGAACGAGAAUGACGAUAGGGAGCGGAAGAAAAAGAAUUAGGAUUUAGGGUUAUUGUGUUUGAGGGUACUUUUGUCUUAUCACAUAGGUUUUUUCU
This 1192-nucleotide long non-coding RNA is filed under the name Erythranthe guttata (spotted monkey flower). RNAcentral describes it as "long non-coding RNA (EGUT_LNC003061)". The record is from RNAcentral. Lineage: Eukaryota; Viridiplantae; Streptophyta; Magnoliopsida; Lamiales; Phrymaceae.